CAGUCUACGAAGUUCCCUUAAUUACUUCGUGAAAGAAAACGCUGACAUAUGAAGCUCGGUCGAUCACUUCAUAAAAGAAACGCUGACUCCAAAGCUCUCUCAAAAUAAAAGUAUGGGGAAAUACUACUAGAGUACUCCCGUACGCUCCCGUAACCGACACACAAAAUUGCCAAAAAGACUUUGUACAUGAUAGUACUUCUGGCACAUUAUAGUACUUUGGUAUGCGAAAGAAUCGUACCCGAGAACAUAAUAGUACCCUGGCACAAGCAGCACCCAAGACACAGAGCUUUGAAAAAGACUUCGUACAUAAAAUGUACUUCUGUACGUAGGACGUACUCCACCGAUCAUCAAUCUCGCAACGCACGUACUCUUAAUAAGAGACUACCCAAUGUCCAAACUUAAUUGAACUAAACAUCCCAUUUAAGUCUUAACCCAUCACUAGGCAAACCUACAAUACUUAUAAUCAAUUCCCGAUACUAUCUCCGUUUAGGAAAAAGACUAACUAGUGUAUACUUAACACAAGGUUUUAAGUAAUAAUAUCAUAUAUAUACAUCUUAACACAUAUUGAACCAUAUAUGAUUCGUACGUUGUAUAUCAUCAAAUAUAUCUAACACGUAUUUCAGAAAAUAACAAAUACUUCACAUACAUAUGUAUAUUUCAUACUUUAAUCAAUUCUUGUGUUAAAAUCACGUUCCUAAAAGGGACUAUACACAUGAUACCUUAUCGAAUGAACACGUAAUUCAAAAAUACAUAAUCCGUACUCCAGGAUCUAAAAUUAACCUCUUGAGCUGAUCCCUACUCUCGGAUCUAAAACUAAUCUCUUGAUCUGAUCCAUACUCUCGGAUCUAAAACUAACCUGUUGAUCUGAUCCAUACAUCCAGAUCUAAAACAAGUUUAUCUCUUUAUUCUUUAUCUCAUGGUCCAACCCAUAUUUUAUCACUUACCAACAACCUCAUCUACUCAUGUUCUACCCAACAUAUUUUUAGACACAAAAUACAUAUAUAGUUUAACUCAUUAAAACUUAUAUAAUUCAUCCACUCCACAACCUCUCAAAUAAACAACGAUAUAUUACACACAUAGCACGUAUUUCAUAGCAGAUACUUAAUAUUUAUGUGCUUAGAAGAAAGUAACUACACACUCACGUGAUUAGUAGAUGAUCGGACAACACUACGGCUUGUAGAAGUAGUAUUCUUCGGCAUAUCUGGAAGAUCUUCAAAAAAACCGGACUCCUCGCGGGCAGAGCUUCGGCUCGGGAAUUGCACUUCUCGGGAUCUUCGGGGCCUCGGGACUUGCUUCGGGGCUCGGGAAUGAUACCGGGGCUUCGGGAUAAUUCUUGCACGAAAAACGAUGCAAAAACGCGAGAAAAAGGGAAGAAAUGAGCAAACUACUCGGCUGCCCUCGACACCCUUUUAUAGGGGCUGGAAGGUCGAAUUACGCUGGGCGUAACUUGAGAUUACGCUGGGCGUAACGACGAUAAGGUCGCUGACUCCCCCCAUGGAUAAUAUCGGCCAAUAUAUAUUUAAAUUAAAUAUCGAAAAUAUUUAAUAAACUUCAAAAAUUCAUAUCUUCCUCAUACGAACUCCGUUUUCGAUGUUAUUUAUAUCCCCGCGUAGGUGAGACUACGCUCUACAACUUUCGUUUAGACUCCGUCGGCUAAUUUUGAAUUUAUUUUUAGUAGGCCGGGACAGAAAAACUCCGUUAUAAAAUCAUAACUUCUUCACCCGACGUCCGUUUUCGCCUAUCUUUUUAUCUUUUUACUACAAUUAAUGAGAUCUUCAAUUCUCAUUUAGAUUGUUUCGGCUAAAAACUGCUCGUUCUCAAAUCGAGCAUUCGGGCUCCAUACCGCUAACUCGAAACUUCGAAAAAUCAUAACUUCCUCAUACGAAGUCAGAUUUGGGCGUUAUUUUUAUGCACGCUCAUGGUUUAACGUAUUAUACGACUUUCAUUUAGAUUGCUAAGGCUAAAUAUUACUCUAACGUAAAUUCACUUUUUACGUCACGCUGUGUCGUACCGGUUCUGUCGCGAAACUUCGACAGGUCAUAACUUCUUCGUUAUAACUCGGAUUUCGGCGUUCUUUAUAUGCACGAAACCUUGUAACAUAUACUAUAACUUAGUUAAGAUUAUUCAUUCUAAAUAAUCUUUAAUCAAAAAUUCAUUUUUGACGCCUAUCGUCUCUAAAUUGACUAGCCCUGAUCUACGGGCGUUACAAUUAUCUCCCCCUUAGGAUGAUUACGUCCCGGAAUCAUCAAUGAAAUAUGACUUGAAUAAUGAUUCCACACGUUAUUAUUCAUCCUAGGUAAUAACCGCAACUUAUAUGUUUCUUCGAAAUAGUAUUUAACUCUAUGGCUUUCUUUACCGCAGAAGAUGCCAAAUCUUGCAUCUGCUUAUCGUACUAGGUUGUACUUUCAAUCGUAACCUUCAAGUUACCGAAUAAGUCCUUACUGUGGACUCAUUCUUCUUCUUAGGAUAAAUACUUUCCUUUAUCUAUUGUAACAGACCGAUGGGUCGUGCUCUACUGACCUCUCGUCGUACGAUGCAACGCUUAGACUUGGUCUUUUUAAAGUUAAAUUCCAGAAUGGAAUAUACCUUCCUUCAUAUUCUAAUGUGAUAUAAUCACAUUUCAGUAUGUAGCAUUUCUAGCUACAAACUUUAUGAACAACGAGCGCGAUACCAAUGAUCGUAUUGACUUCAAUCUUUUGACUUACGUUAGAUGUUACUUCGAACUUGGUUCUCUGAACCACGUAACAUACUCACCGUAGUCGGACUCCAAUUGGAUAUGACCACUAGGGUCGGAACAAGAACCAUCUUACUAGUCAUUACCGAAACCAUGGUAAUGACACACUUGAACAAAACAGAAUCAAUUACUAGCUUCUUGGUAACCUUGUGACUUUCCCUGAUCCAAGUGCGAGUCCUGUGCUUCCGGUAGUAUAUGCAUCUACUAUCUUUCACACCUACUCAUACUCGUCCCAAGUAUUGUCCCGCAGUCGACCAAGUCACCAUACAAGAAAAUCACAAAACAGUUUAACACAUACGAAUGUGUCCAAGUAAUCAUAAACAAUUUCCUUAGACUCUACUAGGACUUCUUCAUUGCUCAAUCUUCAAUCAUCAACUCUACUUCAACUCGAUUGGUGAUGGAAAUACCAGACGAUGAGACAACUUCAAGAAUUUCACCAAUCGUUCCAUCAUCCUGCUAAUCGAAGGUGUACUUUAGACGUACCGUACUCCUCUAAACGUACUUUUAUUUCAUAAGACAUACUCUAAAGGCAAGAUACCACUCUUACGAUAUCUUCCGAUAGGUGUCAUUCACUAUCAUAAGCCUUCUUUAUUUCCUCCAUUUACUCAAUUCUCUACAAGUCUUCACCAUGACCUUUUGUACAUCCAAGCAGACAUUCGGUGUACCAACGAGAAUUUAAGAUAAGAAAGCUUCAUUUACGAUAAACGUAUAAAUCUCCUUAUCCCUCCGAAACGUUUACAUGCUAGUUCUAAUAUCGUAGUCGUACGCUUAGAAUCCUAAACACAUAAGGUUUCCAGAUCCGGUCGGCAACAGACCAUAGACCCGAACAAAUAAUAGCAUCAAUUUAGCUAUCACACAAAACAAUUAGCACAUAAAAGCAUUUUAGGCAUCAUUCCUAAAAUAAACUAGUGCUUGUGUCAAUUUAGGUGUACUACCUAACAUAUUUUAGACACACUCCUCACAAUCAUUACUUAGCAUUCUAAGUUUAAGUCUAGAAAUUUCCUACAAAUUCCUAGUUCGCUUAAACUAAUGCUCUGAUACCAACUGUGACAUCCCCAUUUUCACGGCCAGAAAAGACCGAUUUGUUUAUGCUUUGUUUUAUAAAAUCAGAGUAAUCUUUUAAAGAAAACAGUUGCGGAAUUUGUUCCCAAAACAAAAUAUGAUAAAAAUUAUCAAAGCAUUUCCUUAAAGAAAUGUAUUUUCAUUAUAUAACAAAAUCUCGGGAUGUCAUGUUCAAUACAGACCAAAAGCAUAAACAGAACAAAAUAGACCUUACAACAGUUAUUCAUAACUACUGGCCUAUAAUCCAAAAUCUCUCGUCAAGUCCACCAACUUAUACUCUUGUGCCAUUACCUGUAAUCCAAAGAAAACUGAGUGGGUCAGACUCGGGAGCCUGGUGAGCAUAUAGGGUUUUCAACCCACAAUAAUAUAAUUAUUAUAUUUAAUUAUCAAACAAUUAAUCCAAUUACCCACCCCCAUUAUCUCCAUUUAUUUAGUAAAGAUUUACCCUAAGAACCGAAUACCCUUCUCCCAUUCAUUCCUAAGAAAUGCCCUAAGGAAUUUGCACAAAGUCUAGUGCUGCCUUGGUUCUUAGAUUACCUUUGGUGAACACGCAGUUUAAAAUAAUUAAUAAACACCUAUUUCAAGAACACCCAUUGAACACUCCGUUCAAUAAUACCUAAUGAACACCUAGUUCAAAUAUCCCUGGUGAACUCAAUCACCUAAGGAACACAGCGUACGAAAGCUCUUAGUUCAAACCACGUGAUUAAAAUGUAUAUCUCGAUCCUACAAAACCACUAAUAUUAUUAACACAUAUAAAUCAUAUUUCUAAAACAAUCUAUCCCAUCCCGUCGAUCCCCACAUACUGACCCUAUACAAUGAUCUUACGAGAUCUAGCCUAAGGAAAUCGAUAUGAACAACAACUGACGAAGCUGCUUCGGAAAUUCCCUAGCAGCAAACGAGGAUCAAUAAAGACAUCAAAUGAGGGGAAUAGAAUGAGUUUCACCACGAACCUUCGUUCGUAAAAGAAAGAACCACAAGACAUUUUAAGUCAGGGGUAGUUAUCUAGAUAACAAUGCCUAGGCGUGGUCUGACUAUCAUGAGGUAUUAUACCCCCAGACUUUACCUAUCCCAGCAUCGAACUUUGCCUAGCAGUGGCCUGAAUACAUGAGGUAUUUAACCCCCAGACGCACCCUAUCCAGCAAUAUAACACCAAACAUACCUAGCAGUGGUCUAUUACCGACACACUUUACUAGGCAGUCUACGAAGUUCCCUUAAUUACUUCGUGAAAGAAAACGCUGACAUAUGAAGCUCGGUCGAUCACUUCAUAAAAGAAACGCUGACUCCAAAGCUCUCUCAAAAUAAAAGUAUGGGGAAAUACUACUAGAGUACUCCCGUACGCUCCCGUAACCGACACACAAAAUUGCCAAAAAGACUUUGUACAUGAUAGUACUUCUGGCACAUUAUAGUACUUUGGUAUGCGAAAGAAUCGUACCCAAGAAAGUAAUAGUACCCUGGCACAAGCAGCACCCAAGACACAGAGCUUUGAAAAAGACUUCGUACAUAAAAUGUACUUCUAUACGUAGGAAGUACUCCACCGAUCAUCAAUCUCGCAACGCACACACUCUUAAUAAGAGACUACCCAAUGUCCAAACUUAAUUGAACUAAACAUCCCAUUUAAGUCUUAACCCAUCACUAGGCAAACCUACAAUACAUAUAAUCAAUUCCCGAUACUAUCUCCGUUUAUGAAAAAGACUAACUAGUGUAUACUUAACACAAGGUUUUAAGUAAUAAUAUCAUAUAUAUACAUCUUAACACAUAUAUGAUUCGUACGUUGUAUAUCAUCAAAUAUAUCUAACACGUAUUUCAGAAAAUAACAAAUACUUCACAUACAUAUGUAUAUUUCAUACUUUAAUCAAUUCUUGUGUUAAAAUCACGUUCCUAAAAGGGACUAUACACAUGAUACCUUAUCGAAUGAACACGUAAUUCAAAAAUACAUAAUCCGUACUCCCGGAUCUAAAAUUAACCUCUUGAUCUGAUCCCUACUCUCGGAUCUAAAACUAAUCUCUUGAUCUGAUCCAUACUCUCGGAUCUAAAACUAACCUUUUGAUCUGAUCCAUACAUCCAGAUCUAAAACAAGUUUAUCUCUUUAUUCUUUUAUCUCAUGGUCCAACCCAUAUUUUAUCACCUACCAACAACCUCAUCUACUCAUGUUCUACCCAACAUAU
This 5961-nucleotide long non-coding RNA is filed under the name Lactuca sativa (garden lettuce). RNAcentral describes it as "long non-coding RNA (LSAT_LNC004814)". The record is from RNAcentral. Lineage: Eukaryota; Viridiplantae; Streptophyta; Magnoliopsida; Asterales; Asteraceae.